RNAcentral lists this transfer RNA (67 nucleotides) under Bacillota bacterium. RNAcentral's name for it is "tRNA-Leu". The record is from RNAcentral. Lineage: Bacteria; Bacillati; Bacillota.
GGCGGAAUUGGCAGACGCGCUAGACUUAGGAUCUAGUGUCUACGAUGUGCAGGUUCAAGUCCGUGCA